Xenopus tropicalis (tropical clawed frog) is the source of this 2983-nucleotide long non-coding RNA. RefSeq lists it as uncharacterized. NCBI's taxonomy places the organism in Eukaryota, Metazoa, Chordata, Amphibia, Anura, Pipidae. The transcript is spliced from 2 exons. The record is from RefSeq and is a predicted model, not a curated record.
GUCCCGGCACUGACUCCGCUGGAAUUCCUAUCUCGGGACGCUCAACUUUUCCAUGUUUUCAUUGCAACCGGGAAUCCUUCGCCCUGUCAAACCUAAACACUUCAGCAAUCGUGAGGAAAACUACAUUCAAAAAGGACAAAAAAACCCAAGCAACAACAUGUGUUUUAUUCAAUGAGAAAAUCCCAGCGGGCACGGCCACGAGGCACCGACUGUACGGGGAGCACCUUGAAGGACAAGACUUGUAGGUAGAACCAAUAACAGAGCAAACAAACCUUGCUGGGAAGAAGCACAUUGUCUGCUAUUCACUAAUGAAUCUUUCACAACGCAAAGUGGGAGGAUUCUCCGGCUUUAUAUUCUUGACACAGCACCAAGCAACCCAAAAAAAAAAAAAGAAGAAAGGAUGGGGCUGCGGAGAGCUUGCCAAAUUGUGAGCAUCACAGGAAAGGAGGGCUCCUGGGAACUGAUCCCAAAUGAAACUAAAUCAUUUGCAUAUGCCGAGGCAAAUGGCAUUGGAGCGUACAAGCUAUUCUCCUAGAAUCCACUUUAAUAAUUCAGAGCACCUAUUCCCUUACAAGUCAGCGAGGUAGCGCAGCACCCAGAGCGCCGGGCACGGGAUAAUGAUCUAGGUGUGUUCUUAUUUCCAAAGCUGAUGUUUUUGUCCUAAUCCCAUAGGCAGACGUGGUGAAGUGGGGAUAAGGGCAUUUAGGGUAUUCUGACAAAUAGAAGGGAAUAAUACCAGAAUAAAGUGUGGCUUGGAGGUGCAGGAACACGGGUUUUUGGCGUUUUUUUUUAGACAAAGUUGCAUUUAUUUCAGUGGGAGGCUGUUGUAGGUGAGUUUUGACAACUUUUUUUGAGCAGAUGGCAACCAAAAUCUCCUUUCUUCUUCUUCGUUGUACGAUAGAAAACAGAGCUUUAUCUAACUCAUUUGCUCUGUGUUUAUCUGGCCCGUCCCUUAGGCUCUGGAUGAACAGCACUUGAAUUAUAAUCACACAUUUCCUUCCAAUUUCAUGCUUUUGGGAUAUUUUUCUAAUUACAACAUUGUCAAUCUCACAUGAACAUAUUGGGAACCUGUGGGCCACCCUAAAUGCACAGUCCAGCCUUGGUUAGUAAAUCAAGAGUCAGCCCUUAUUCUCUUUGUAAAUAUAGGUUAGUGGAGGCCCUGCAGAUGUUAAUGGACUAUAACCCCAACAACCUGUCCACAACCAAACUAUAGUCCAAAAAAAAUGGCUGCCAUCCACCCAUCUCUACGUUAAUGACAUCCAGGGUUGGGCAGUCGGCCCGUGGGGGCUGCAGUAGGCACAUCCGCCGUGGCAGCCCCGGUGGUCCCUAAACCCCCCGCAUUCCGACCCUGAUGUCAUCAUCUGCAUGUUCUCCCUGUAGGUUUCCUUCAGAAGGCAACUGGCAUCUGAUGAAACUGCACCAAGUAUUUUUGGUAGGGUAUGCUCCACUGAGACAGGGAUCUUGCAUUUCUACAUCACCUAAACAUAUUUUAGGAAUGUACAGGAACAUGAAUCACACAGAGACUGAAGGUCAGUUUCCUUGUUAUUGUCACAGAAUGGAACUUCUAAGGGACAGACACAGACCAACAGUGUGUUACAAAAGCCAGAAAGUGGAACUUCUGAAUAGCCAUAGGCCCACUGUAUGUUUCAGUGCCAGAGACAAAUAGUGGAACGUCUAUGGGUUACCAAAAGUCCCACAGUAUUCUUCAUUAUCAAAGCCACAAAGAAGAACUUCUCUGGGAUACUCACAAACCCACAGUGAUAAAGUGGAACUUCUAUAAGUCAACCACAGGCUCUCACAAUGGAACUUCUAAAGGACAGCAACAGGCCCAGAGAACUUCUGCUGCAAAACUCUUUUGUUUAUUGUACAUGUAAUUUGUCAGGUCUACACGGUGGAGCUUCUGUGGGACAGUCACUGGGCAGCGUAACAUUUGCAUUCUGGAUCCAUAGGGUGUAGCUUCUAUUUAAACAGCCAUUAAAUACAUAUAUUGAAGUUUUAUAAGGGCGACCAAGGUCCAUGUCGACAGGGAUGGCACUGGGCUGGUAAAAAUUAAACUUCAUGAGAAUGUUAUAAAUGUGAUACUUUGAUGACACAGACAAGGGAUGCACCGAGUUCGGGAUUCCGCCUUUUUGCGUCAGGAUUCCCAUUUGGCCGAAUCUAUGCGCCUCGUCAAACCAAAUCCUUUAUGUCGCAUAAACACGGAAGUUGAAUUUUUUUUUCUUCUCUUUAACCCUUCCACAACCGUAUUUGCAUAUGCAAGUUAGGAUUCGGAAUCAGUUAAGUAUUCAGCAUUUGAUGCAUCCCUAACACAGACACAGGUCCUAGUCCAAUCUUCUCAUUUUUCAUCAGUGGACUCUACGGAAUGACGAGCAGCAGAAAUGUACAGCCCCAACCAUUUUUUCCAUGGAUCCCAGUUAAAUUACUUUCAGCAGAUGCUGGAAAUUGCAUUUUGCCGACAAUUGGUGGGCAGCAGGUAAACCCUCCCUGCUAUACACAGUCAGGAGUCACAGUCCUAUUAACCCUUCUCCACACUGGUGUCCUCCCUACAGAGCCAUAUUGCUAUAUAGGCACCUGAGGGCCACCCAGUUAAACCUACAACCCUAGAUAUGAGCCGUUGUGUGCCUAUGUUGAAAAAUAUCCCUGCUGGGGGCGGGGUAUCCCUCUGUUCUGUGAUUGGUAUGGGAGAGGCUGUCCUGUGUAUGAGCCAUUAAUGGAGGGAGUAGACACAGGGCUGGCGUCUGGGCAGCGUUGGACUUAAAUACAUUGCCGAAUGGUCAUGGUUUACAUUUGUGGAAAGAUACUAAGAUUUUCCAUACCUCUCCUACUAUUAACUGCUGCCAAGGAUAGUUGUACCCCCUUACAAAACACAACUCUGCCCUAAUAUACACCCUAACAUGGGGGCCGGGGGCUGCAGUGAGCGCCUUCAAGCAGCGCCCUGAUAUCUGAUCUAAUAUUGAAAAAUAAACACAUGUCUACUUACAGA